UACGAAGGGGGCUAGCGUUGCUCGGAAUUACUGGGCGUAAAGCGCACGUAGGCGGAUUGUUAAGUCGGGGGUGAAAUCCUGGAGCUCAACUCCAGAACUGCCUUCGAUACUGGCGAUCUCGAGUUCGGGAGAGGUGAGUGGAACUGCGAGUGUAGAGGUGAAAUUCGUAGAUAUUCGCAAGAACACCAGUGGCGAAGGCGGCGCACUGGCCCGAUACUGACGCUGAGGUGCGAAAGCGUGGGGAGCAAACAGG
Molecule: ribosomal RNA, 253 nt
Filed under: uncultured bacterium
Lineage: Bacteria
Description: partial 16S ribosomal RNA
Rfam family: Bacterial small subunit ribosomal RNA
Source: RNAcentral